Molecule: long non-coding RNA, 168 nt
Organism: Myripristis murdjan (pinecone soldierfish)
Lineage: Eukaryota; Metazoa; Chordata; Actinopteri; Holocentriformes; Holocentridae
Exons: 4
Source: RefSeq, a predicted model, not a curated record
GGACUGCUAUCAGCCCUGUCAUUGCCACCAAGUGGUCAGGGGUGUGAAUUGCAAUCUGUCAAAAUGACAGAUGGCCUUCAGAUUUUUCCGUCACCGUUUAAAAAAACCCGUCAAUGACGGAAAAUAUUCGGUUAACGCGACCUCUGUUUUGAAGCAUUACAUAACUCC